Molecule: transfer RNA, 84 nt
Filed under: Acholeplasmataceae bacterium
Lineage: Bacteria; Bacillati; Mycoplasmatota; Mollicutes; Acholeplasmatales; Acholeplasmataceae
Also listed under: 3 other names
Description: tRNA-Leu
Rfam family: tRNA
About the family: Transfer RNA (tRNA) molecules are approximately 80 nucleotides in length. Their secondary structure includes four short double-helical elements and three loops (D, anti-codon, and T loops). Further hydrogen bonds mediate the characteristic L-shaped molecular structure. tRNAs have two regions of fundamental functional importance: the anti-codon, which is responsible for specific mRNA codon recognition, and the 3' end, to which the tRNAs corresponding amino acid is attached (by aminoacyl-tRNA synthetases). tRNAs cope with the degeneracy of the genetic code in two manners: having more than one tRNA (with a specific anti-codon) for a particular amino acid; and 'wobble' base-pairing, i.e. permitting non-standard base-pairing at the 3rd anti-codon position.
Source: RNAcentral
GCGGUUGUGGCGGAACGGCAGACGCACCAUCUUGAGGGGGUGGCGGGGAGACUCGUGUGGGUUCAAAUCCCACCAACCGCACCA